Molecule: ribosomal RNA, 1372 nt
Filed under: uncultured bacterium
Lineage: Bacteria
Description: bacterial SSU rRNA
Rfam family: Bacterial small subunit ribosomal RNA
Source: RNAcentral
GAUGAACGCUGGCGGCGUGCCUAAUACAUGCAAGUCGAGCGAACGGACGAGAAGCUUGCUUCUCUGAUGUUAGCGGCGGACGGGUGAGUAACACGUGGAUAACCUACCUAUAAGACUGGGAUAACUUCGGGAAACCGGAGCUAAUACCGGAUAAUAUUUUGAACCGCAUGGUUCAAAAGUGAAAGACGGUCUUGCUGUCACUUAUAGAUGGAUCCGCGCUGCAUUAGCUAGUUGGUAAGGUAACGGCUUACCAAGGCAACGAUGCAUAGCCGACCUGAGAGGGUGAUCGGCCACACUGGAACUGAGACACGGUCCAGACUCCUACGGGAGGCAGCAGUAGGGAAUCUUCCGCAAUGGGCGAAAGCCUGACGGAGCAACGCCGCGUGAGUGAUGAAGGUCUUCGGAUCGUAAAACUCUGUUAUUAGGGAAGAACAUAUGUGUAAGUAACUGUGCACAUCUUGACGGUACCUAAUCAGAAAGCCACGGCUAACUACGUGCCAGCAGCCGCGGUAAUACGUAGGCGGCAAGCGUUAUCCGGAAUUAUUGGGCGUAAAGCGCGCGUAGGCGGUUUUUUAAGUCUGAUGUGAAAGCCCACGGCUCAACCGUGGAGGGUCAUUGGAAACUGGAAAACUUGAGUGCAGAAGAGGAAAGUGGAAUUCCAUGUGUAGCGGUGAAAUGCGCAGAGAUAUGGAGGAACACCAGUGGCGAAGGCGACUUUCUGGUCUGUAACUGACGCUGAUGUGCGAAAGCGUGGGGAUCAAACAGGAUUAGAUACCCUGGUAGUCCACGCCGUAAACGAUGAGUGCUAAGUGUUAGGGGGUUUCCGCCCCUUAGUGCUGCAGCUAACGCAUUAAGCACUCCGCCUGGGGAGUGCGACCGCAAGGUUGAAACUCAAAGGAAUUGACGGGGACCCGCACAAGCGGUGGAGCAUGUGGUUUAAUUCGAAGCAACGCGAAGAACCUUACCAAAUCUUGACAUCCUUUGACAACUCUAGAGAUAGAGCCUUCCCCUUCGGGGGACAAAGUGACAGGUGGUGCAUGGUUGUCGUCAGCUCGUGUCGUGAGAUGUUGGGUUAAGUCCCGCAACGAGCGCAACCCUUAAGCUUAGUUGCCAUCAUUAAGUUGGGCACUCUAAGUUGACUGCCGGUGACAAACCGGAGGAAGGUGGGGAUGACGUCAAAUCAUCAUGCCCCUUAUGAUUUGGGCUACACACGUGCUACAAUGGACAAUACAAAGGGCAGCGAAACCGCGAGGUCAAGCAAAUCCCAUAAAGUUGUUCUCAGUUCGGAUUGUAGUCUGCAACUCGACUACAUGAAGCUGGAAUCGCUAGUAAUCGUAGAUCAGCAUGCUACGGUGAAUACGUUCCCGGGUCU